GAUGAACGCUGGCGGCGUGCCUAAUACAUGCAAGUCGAGCGAACGGACGAGAAGCUUGCUUCUCUGAUGUUAGCGGCGGACGGGUGAGUAACACGUGGAUAACCUACCUAUAAGACUGGGAUAACUUCGGGAAACCGGAGCUAAUACCGGAUAAUAUUUUGAACCGCAUGGUUCAAAAGUGAAAGACGGUCUUGCUGUCACUUAUAGAUGGAUCCGCGCUGCAUUAGCUAGUUGGUAAGGUAACGGCUUACCAAGGCAACGAUGCAUAGCCGACCUGAGAGAGUGAUCGGCCCCACUGGAACUGAGACACGGUCCAGACUCCUACGGGAGGCAGCAGUAGGGAAUCUUCCGCAAUGGGCGAAAGCCUGACGGAGCAACGCCGCGUGAGUGAUGAAGGUCUUCGGAUCGUAAAACUCUGUUAUUAGGGAAGAACAUAUGUGUAAGUAACUGUGCACAUCUUGACGGUACCUAAUCAGAAAGCCACGGCUAACUACGUG
RNAcentral lists this ribosomal RNA (497 nucleotides) under uncultured bacterium. RNAcentral's name for it is "partial 16S ribosomal RNA". It matches the Rfam family "Bacterial small subunit ribosomal RNA", at positions 28 to 507 of the family's 1533-position model. The record is from RNAcentral.